This 332-nucleotide long non-coding RNA is filed under the name Mustela putorius furo (domestic ferret). Its description in RNAcentral is "lncRNA (ENSMPUG00000024595.1)". Lineage: Eukaryota; Metazoa; Chordata; Mammalia; Carnivora; Mustelidae. The record is from RNAcentral.
CCCUGUUUUGGGUGGGAAUUUCUCACCUCUGUCUUUCUAUCCAUGCAGCUUUGGAGGUAUUGACCCGUGGAUCUGGGUCGAACAGGACUCUCAGACUUCAGCCUCACGUUCCCUAGGACUUUGCAGGAGGCUUCCUUGUUUCAGCUGGAUUUGAACCUGGAGAAGCUGGGAGCUCCCCUGCAUCCUAAGAAUGAAGCUUGCAGAGAGAAAGGUUUCCAGGUGAUGCCGCUUUGCAGGCCCGGGGCCACACUUUGAGAACCACUGAGUUUCUGAGCAGCUGCCCUAGCACCCUGUUUCAGCCAUUACCCUAGGUGGGCCUUCGCCACAGUUCA